RNAcentral lists this ribosomal RNA (241 nucleotides) under uncultured bacterium. RNAcentral describes it as "partial 16S ribosomal RNA". It matches the Rfam family "Bacterial small subunit ribosomal RNA", at positions 95 to 334 of the family's 1533-position model. The record is from RNAcentral.
CCGGCGCACGGGUGAGUAACACGUAUCCAACCUGCCGUCUACUCUUGGCCAGCCUUCUGAAAGGAAGAUUAAUCCAGGAUGGCAUCAUGAGUUCACAUGUCCGCAUGAUUAAAGGUAUUUUCCGGUAGACGAUGGGGAUGCGUUCCAUUAGAUAGUAGGCGGGGUAACGGCCCACCUAGUCAACGAUGGAUAGGGGUUCUGGGAGGAAGGUCCCCCACAUUGGAACUGAGACACGGUCCAA